GAUGAACGCUAGCGGCAGGCCUAAUACAUGCAAGUCGAGGGGUAGAUGGGGCUUGCUCCAUUGAGCCCGGCGCACGGGUGCGUAACGCGUAUGCAACCUACCUUGAUCUGGGGGAUAGCCCGGAGAAAUCCGGAUUAACACCGCAUAAAACCACAGCAGGACAUCCUGCAAUGGUCAAACAUUCAUGGGAUCAGGAUGGGCAUGCGUGCCAUUAGCUUGUUGUCGGGGUAACGGCCCACCAAGGCUACGAUGGCUAGGGGAUCUGAGAGGAUGGCCCCCCACACUGGUACUGAGACACGGACCAGACUCCUACGGGAGGCAGCAGUAAGGAAUAUUGGUCAAUGGAGGCAACUCUGAACCAGCCAGGCCGCGUGCAGGAAGACGGCCCUCCGGGUUGUAAACUGCUUUUAUCCGGGAAUAAACCUAUCUACGUGUAGAUAGCUGAAUGUACCGGAGGAAUAAGGAUCGGCUAACUCCGUGCCAGCCGCCGCGGUAA
This 496-nucleotide ribosomal RNA is filed under the name uncultured bacterium. Its description in RNAcentral is "partial 16S ribosomal RNA". It matches the Rfam family "Bacterial small subunit ribosomal RNA", at positions 28 to 523 of the family's 1533-position model. The record is from RNAcentral.